Molecule: transfer RNA, 84 nt
Filed under: Deltaproteobacteria bacterium
Lineage: Bacteria; Pseudomonadati; Myxococcota; Myxococcia
Description: tRNA-Leu
Rfam family: tRNA
About the family: Transfer RNA (tRNA) molecules are approximately 80 nucleotides in length. Their secondary structure includes four short double-helical elements and three loops (D, anti-codon, and T loops). Further hydrogen bonds mediate the characteristic L-shaped molecular structure. tRNAs have two regions of fundamental functional importance: the anti-codon, which is responsible for specific mRNA codon recognition, and the 3' end, to which the tRNAs corresponding amino acid is attached (by aminoacyl-tRNA synthetases). tRNAs cope with the degeneracy of the genetic code in two manners: having more than one tRNA (with a specific anti-codon) for a particular amino acid; and 'wobble' base-pairing, i.e. permitting non-standard base-pairing at the 3rd anti-codon position.
Source: RNAcentral
GCCUGGGUGGCGGAAUUGGUAGACGCAAGGGACUUAAAAUCCCUCGUUCUGAUGAACGUGCGGGUUCGACCCCCGCCCCAGGCA